This 1152-nucleotide ribosomal RNA is filed under the name Coptopsylla lamellifer ardua. Its description in RNAcentral is "SSU rRNA". It matches the Rfam family "Eukaryotic small subunit ribosomal RNA", at positions 395 to 1470 of the family's 1831-position model. Lineage: Eukaryota; Metazoa; Arthropoda; Insecta; Siphonaptera; Coptopsyllidae. The record is from RNAcentral.
CCUGAGAAACGGCUACCACAUCCAAGGAAGGCAGCAGGCGCGCAAAUUACCCACUCCCGGCACGGGGAGGUAGUGACGAAAAAUAACGAUACGGGACUCAUCCGAGGCCCCGUAAUCGGAAUGAGUACACUUUAAAUCCUUUAACGAGGACCCAUUGGAGGGCAAGUCUGGUGCCAGCAGCCGCGGUAAUUCCAGCUCCAAUAGCGUAUAUUAAAGUUGUUGCGGUUAAAAAGCUCGUAGUUGAAUCUGUGUCCCACACUGUCGGUUCACCGCUCGCGGUGUCCAACUGGCAUGUCUGUGGGACGUCCUACCGGUGGGCGCAGCCCGUCAAAAGGCGGCCCAACUCAAAAUCCUACCACGUUGCUCUUCACCGAGUGUCGAGGUGGGCCGGUACGUUUACUUUGAACAAAUUAGAGUGCUUAAAGCAGGCUCAUUCGCCUGAAUAUUCUGUGCAUGGAAUAAUGGAAUAGGACCUCGGUUCUAUUUUGUUGGUUUUCGGAACACCGAGGUAAUGAUUAAUAGGGACAACUGGGGGCAUUCGUAUUGCGACGUUAGAGGUGAAAUUCUUGGAUCGUCGCAAGACGGACAGAAGCGAAAGCAUUUGCCAAAUGUGUUUUCAUCAAUCAAGAACGAAAGUUAGAGGUUCGAAGGCGAUCAGAUACCGCCCUAGUUCUAACCAUAAACGAUGCCAGCUAGCGAUCCGCCGAAGUUCCUCCGAUGACUCGGCGGGCAGCUUCCGGGAAACCAAAGCUUUUGGGUUCCGGGGGAAGUAUGGUUGCAAAGCUGAAACUUAAAGGAAUUGACGGAAGGGCACCACCAGGAGUGGAGCCUGCGGCUUAAUUUGACUCAACACGGGAAACCUCACCAGGCCCAGACACCGGAAGGAUUGACAGAUUGAGAGCUCUUUCUUGAUUCGGUGGGUGGUGGUGCAUGGCCGUUCUUAGUUGGUGGAGCGAUUUGUCUGGUUAAUUCCGGUAACGAGCGAGACUCUAGCCUGCUAAAUAGGCGUACUUUCCGGUAUCUCGAAGGCCCGCCGGCUCGGCUUCGGCCGUUGUCGCGUGUGGUUUUUACUACCGGCGUACACAUAUAUCUUCUUAGAGGGACAGGUGGCAUUUAGUCGCACGAGAUUGAGCAAUAACAGGUCUGUGAUGC